CUGAAGGAUCUAACUUGUUGAUUCGAAGUGGACAUACACAUUGUUUUUCGUAUAUAUAAUCUGUUUUAGGGCUAUCAUUCAUGCCUAAGGUUCAUCAACACAUCCAUUUUCCUUCAUCUUACCACCAAGGCAUUGAAGAUGAAGGCUGAUAUCAGCAUCAUUAUUAUUCCAUUUCUUGUUUACUCCUGCUUUUAGGGUUUCAUUGGAAAAGCUAGCCUGCUGACUUUGGAGCCGACGAUCCAUGGGAAAGGCCGAGUAGCUCGAUUCGAGACCGUCAUGUGGGAUUGGGAACAACAUUGACUUGAUCCAAGCCAACUCCUCAGAAGACCAGCCAGCUUGAUAGUAGAAGGCGGUUUGCAUGUAAUCUGAAGCUGACAAGAGGAGACAAAACAUAAAGUGCAAACUUUUGUAUUGGGGUGAACAUGUGAGCUUGGCUGCUUGUUACUGCUUCCCUGCUAUGGGUUGGCUUGAGCCUGAACCAUCCUGUCACCACCCUGUCAAACACUGCUUGGGGAGGCAGUCUCCAGUACACUGUGAUCACCAAAUGGCCCUCAGAGUUGGAAAAGAAGACAACACUAGAGGUCUUCUCCCCUGCUUACCCAGGUUUCUCUCUUGCCAUUUAUGGGUGGUGAAGCCAUGGCCCCACCCUAGAAUUCUGGGCCAGAAGAGCUUGGAACCUGUUGCUGUGAAGGGGGGUCGUUACUCACUGAAAGGAAAGCCUGUGAUGCAGGACAUUAGGUGAAGUCAUGUCAAAACAAGUCACAGUGGCUUGGACAGUUCUCAGGGAAGCAGUCUGUGUUCCACUGGCGAGCUUUGUGCAUCUCCCUUUUAACCUUUGGAAACUGCAGCUUCAACCGGAGAAGAGGGUGUUGUGGUCAAGGUGGAAGCUCAGCAGUGCAAAAUUAAUGCUCUGGCCUUCAAAACCAGUCUCUUUGAUGGCUUGGAGAGAGUUAGGUUUUUGUCUGGGAGCAUCUAAAACCUCAUGUGUUAUUGUUAAGAAAAGAAAUAUAUAUCUUUGUUGUUUUUCUUAACUCCAAAGAUAUAUAAACUAUACUGUUUAUCCUGCAUGAGAUUGACUUAUUUGAGGUUGGAAUGUUUAAUGACUUUCAUCAGGAAGAACUUGUAUUUUAUCAGAUUUUUCAGUACUUUAA
Long non-coding RNA from Musa acuminata AAA Group (dessert banana), 1151 nucleotides. RefSeq lists it as uncharacterized. The transcript is spliced from 3 exons. NCBI's taxonomy places the organism in Eukaryota, Viridiplantae, Streptophyta, Magnoliopsida, Zingiberales, Musaceae. The record is from RefSeq and is a predicted model, not a curated record.